RNAcentral lists this ribosomal RNA (253 nucleotides) under uncultured bacterium. Its description in RNAcentral is "partial 16S ribosomal RNA". It matches the Rfam family "Bacterial small subunit ribosomal RNA", at positions 524 to 776 of the family's 1533-position model. The record is from RNAcentral. RNAcentral also lists the same sequence under 1 other name.
GACAGAGGGUGCAAACGUUGUUCGGAAUUACUGGGCGUAAAGCGCGUGUAGGCUGUUGCGAAAGUCGGGUGUGAAAUCCCUGGGCUCAACCCAGGAAGUGCACUCGAAACUACGCGACUAGAGUCUCGGAGAGGGAAGCGGAAUUCUGGGUGUAGAGGUGAAAUUCGUAGAUAUCCAGAGGAACACCAGUGGCGAAGGCGGCUUCCUGGACGAUCACUGACGCUGAGACGCGAAAGCGUGGGGAGCAAACAGG